This 102-nucleotide small nucleolar RNA is filed under the name Aspergillus wentii DTO 134E9. Its description in RNAcentral is "A. fumigatus snoRNA Afu_264". It matches the Rfam family "A. fumigatus snoRNA Afu_264". The record is from Rfam by way of RNAcentral. Lineage: Eukaryota; Fungi; Ascomycota; Eurotiomycetes; Eurotiales; Aspergillaceae.
UAAAAUGAUGAUAACUCCCAACUUUUAUUUUUUCUGGUACCUCUUAUGUCAGAAGUAGCAUCCUCGUGGUGUUAUUUCGAUGAUCUAAAUGGACUUCUGAUA